Xenia sp. Carnegie-2017 is the source of this 260-nucleotide long non-coding RNA. RefSeq lists it as uncharacterized. The record is from RefSeq and is a predicted model, not a curated record. The transcript has 2 exons. NCBI's taxonomy places the organism in Eukaryota, Metazoa, Cnidaria, Anthozoa, Malacalcyonacea, Xeniidae.
UAAUAAAAACAGCAGGUGAUUAAAAUCAAGCAUUUAUUGAACAUUCUAAUUUCUUUAUUAUCAAGCAAAAGCAAACACAUCAUGUAGAUGGUUGGGUUUUCUCUAAUCUUUCUAAAUUUGUUAAGCAGAGGCAAAGACAUCAUGUAGUUGGUUGCGUCUUCUUUAAUCUUUCUAAAUUUGUUAAGGUAUGUUGAUUAUAAAGUUUACCUAUCAUAGUGUCAUUGUUUGUUCUUAUGUCUAGAAUUUUGUUAUAUUUGUCA